GGGCAUGUGGUGUAAUGGGUAGCACGUUCCGGUUAGUUCUGGAAAGGUCUCGGUUCGAAUCCGGCAUGCCAA
Molecule: transfer RNA, 72 nt
Filed under: Pseudomonas putida F1
Lineage: Bacteria; Pseudomonadati; Pseudomonadota; Gammaproteobacteria; Pseudomonadales; Pseudomonadaceae
Description: tRNA-Leu-TAG-2-1
Rfam family: tRNA
About the family: Transfer RNA (tRNA) molecules are approximately 80 nucleotides in length.
Source: RNAcentral